UGUGAAUGACAAUCAAUCUAUCACUUGAGCCAGAGAGUUGAGCUUCAUAGUGAUCCCUUUCAUUCCCAAUGUUUGGAAAGUGAUCACUCCCACUAACCAAGUCAUUCUCAAGAAAUUUUGCAUUUCUUGACUCCACAAUCCUAGUGUUAUGUGAUGGGCAAUAGAAUCUACAUCCCUUAGACUUUUCAGCAUAUCCAAUGAAAUACCCACUAAUAGUCCUUGGGUCUAGUUUAUUCUCUUGUGGAUUAUAAAUUCUCACUUUAGAC
Molecule: long non-coding RNA, 266 nt
Filed under: Vigna radiata
Lineage: Eukaryota; Viridiplantae; Streptophyta; Magnoliopsida; Fabales; Fabaceae
Description: long non-coding RNA (VRAD_LNC001203)
Source: RNAcentral